CAGCAGCCACGGUAAUACGAAGGGUGCAAGCGUUACUCGGAAUUACUGGGCGUAAAGCGUGUGUAGGUGGUUGUUUAAGUCUGUCGUGAAAGCCCUGGGCUCAACCUGGGAAUUGCGAUGGAUACUGGGCGACUAGAGUGCGGUAGAGGAUAGUGGAAUUUCCGGUGUAGCAGUGAAAUGCGUAGAGAUCGGAAGGAACAUCUGUGGCGAAGGCGACUACCUGGGCCAACACUGACACUGAGACACGAAAGCGUGGGGAGCAAACAGGAUUAGAUACCCGCGUAGUCCCUGUCUCUUAUAC
This 301-nucleotide ribosomal RNA is filed under the name uncultured bacterium. Its description in RNAcentral is "partial 16S ribosomal RNA". It matches the Rfam family "Bacterial small subunit ribosomal RNA", at positions 509 to 807 of the family's 1533-position model. The record is from RNAcentral.